GCCAGUGUAGCAUAGUGGUUUGAGUGUUGGACUACAACUCUGGAGAUCAAGAGUUCAAUUCCUUGCUUGGCC
RNAcentral lists this transfer RNA (72 nucleotides) under Phrynosoma platyrhinos (Desert horned lizard). Its description in RNAcentral is "tRNA-OTHER". Lineage: Eukaryota; Metazoa; Chordata; Lepidosauria; Squamata; Phrynosomatidae. The record is from RNAcentral.